This 687-nucleotide long non-coding RNA is filed under the name Homo sapiens (human). RNAcentral's name for it is "non-protein coding lnc-OR4N4-1:12". Lineage: Eukaryota; Metazoa; Chordata; Mammalia; Primates; Hominidae. The record is from RNAcentral.
AGUAACACUCUGGGAGGGCUCAAACCACAUAACCAAAUGUGCCAAGAUAAUCCUGAGCUCACUAUUGUCAGUCCUGAAGAUUUUCCUCAGAUAAUCUUUCAUCUCUUUGUUCCUGAGACUAUAUAUUAGAGGAUUACAGAGUGGUGUUAUCACAGAAAAGAACAAGUGGAUUUUUAUCUGAGAUCUACAACUUAUGAAGAAUACAAAUGAUGUAUAUUCUUUUCUACUCUUCAUGUAUGGACUAGAGGGGCUUGCACAGUAGUAAGAAAAAAAUGGCUGAGACCCACAGGAACAAAGAAACAGGACAGGAGUUAGAUGCAGAGAAGAGAUUUCAACAAAAGUUUGGAAAAGAUGCUAACGGUAGCAUAUGAGUCACAGACAGAACAUUGGCACCUUUGUUUAAGAAACUGAAUGUUAAUGUCACAUCUGCCUUUGGAGAUUACAAAUGAAAUGGCUACCUUUCUACUGGAACCCUGACCAGAAGUCUGCCAGUUAGUAAGCUGGCUUAAGAGAUCAAUCUAAAAUUUACAUAAGGCUUUUGAAAAAAAGAAAAAAACUCAAGAGAAUUGACAUCUGGUGUUAAAAAACAAAAAAUCAUACAAAUGACUGAUAUGUAUCAUUUUCCUUAUUAAAUAUGGAAGAAAGGGGAGGAGGAUGCAGAAAUGGUUGGCUAAAAGCUCCAGAGAA